CGGAGCCGCCCCCGCUCCGUGCCCGGCCCCGCGCUGCGGGCCCUUCGUUUGAAAAUAAAGCCGUCAUCAAAACCAUUCGGACACUGCAUGAAACUCGCCUGUUCACACCCUGCAGUAUCUGAACAAGAACCUGGCCCAGAUCGUAUGUUCUGCAUCUCCAUCUGUGCUGGCUCAGCCUGCUGCUCGUGGUUCUGCUUGAUUUUGGCAGCUCUGUGCAGGUCUAUCCCUGGGCCCAUAAGCAAACUGUGUGGCUUCAGUUCCAAUACACAACCUUUUCUUCUACUGCUACUUCUUGCUAACUUAAAAGGCCUGCUGGUUGUGGGACAUAUUCUGAGGACAUUUUCAAAACCACCGUAAGUUACUUUUGAGCCUCAACCUAAAAAUUAAAAAGAUUUGACAGUUUUGAAAAUUAAUUUCCUCCUUUAUCUUCUGUGUAACCCUAUUGCUUGCUUCACGUUCAGUCAUUGAAUCUCGAUGCAUGCAGCAGAAAUGCAUGUGGAGACACUCAGCUGGUGCAUUCAGUAAGUGUAGAUCCUGCUUGCAUAAACUAAGACUCAAGUGGGAAAAAAAAUCCGACCAAAAGCACCUUUGGGUACACUUUAAAUGUAUGUCACGAUCUCACAAUCUCCUCCAAGUUAACAAAUUGUAUUUUAGAACUGUGUUUGGUAAUUAUUGCAUUCAUACCUCAGAAGUAAGACCCAGGCAUUAUGGUUGGUUGGAAUUCAUCUGAAUAAAUAGCAGUUUGCCACAUUCUUAACAAAAACAUUAUUCAUUAGAACUAUUACGUAUUAGCAGCCCUGAAUAACAUUUGGCAAUUGCUUUGGGUCUGUGUUACUAAAAGGUCCAUAGACGCAUACAAAUUGCUCAGUACGCUAAUAUAAAACAGGAGCAGUAAUGAAAUAGUAAAGUGAGUAUUAAGCUCCAGGACUGCAGUUUUAUUCUUCAAAAUGUUCCUCUUGUAAUUUGUAAACAUCUUAGAAACUCGGGUGUUUUUAAGCUAUUUGAUGACUGUUAGUCGUAAGACUUGAUUUGUAUUUGCUGCCUGUCCCUCUGCAUCUGCAAAAGGCAUUAGUGGCAAGCUGAGCUGGUCAGAUGAUUUUCAGGCAUUGCAGCAAUAAGCCUUAAGUACUUCAGAGGAUUUAGAACAUAGAUUCCUGCAGAUAGCUAUUGGCAAAAACCCUCUGAAAAAAGUGGCCAAAUGGGUGCUAUGGUUAGUAGUGCAGACUGGUAGGGUAGAAGGAAGUGCAUAGAUACAACGGGAGACUUAGCAGGUUCUGUAAAAGUAAUAAUGAUUCUUCAGAUCAUUUGUGACCUCCCUGCCCCAUGCAUGGCUCUAGAUUUUUGGAAAAGAAGACACUUCUAAUGAGCCACUAAAUGACUACUCUUCCAAGAAGCUUACAUUAUAUCCCACUCAGAAGAGGUGUAGCCAGGAAGAAGAAAAAAUUUUCCUUAUCCUACACAUACUGUCACAGAAAAGGAAAGGAGGGUCUAACAAAAGAAUUUCUGGGAUGUCUGUAUAGUAUCUGGACACUUCUGGACCUUUAGAGAGUUUAUUUAUGAACACUGCUGUGAGAUGAUUCUACUUCCCAAAGGACAGAAAAAGUUAGACACACUUCCUUAAAGUUAUUAGAAAUUCUUACAUUCUGUAUCAGACUAAACUGCUUGCUUGAGAUCGUUCAGAAAGCCUCUAAAUGAAGAUGAAUUUUGUUACUUCAAGUUCUAUGGUUUAUGACUCCAACCUCUGAAAUCUGUACAUAAUCUAUUAACCAAGCAAAGAAUCCUUCCUUUAUUGAAAUCCGAAUGGUUUCCAAAGCAUCUGCUUCCAGUUCUGUUGGCAAUCUGGAGGAUACAUUGUAGAUACCUUAAGGGAGAAGUAAAGCUCAAGAGCCAUGGAUUUAUAUACAUUGCCCAUCACUGUGACAGGGUAUGGGAAAUGAAUCUCUGAUGUCACCAACUUGAAAAGUUGGAAGGAACAAUGUAUCUUCUAUAAGGUGAGAGGACUAGAGUGUUCCUUCUUGGGCUAUCCAUUUAAAAAAAAAAGUCUUAUAGAAAGGCAAGACAACAGCUUGCCUUAAACUGAUUUCUAAUUCAAUGAUGUGAGAUAUUUGAGUGAAGAGAAGGACUAGAGGAGGGAACAGAGAAGAAAAGCAUAUCAACAUCCAAUUGUGUCUUGUUUUUCUGGGUGAUAAUAGUCUGGGGGUUUGGACUUGGGGAAAGUGUUUGGAAAAACAAAAAUGCCAAGGAAAGAACCUGAACAAUAAGUGCUUUUUCCGCUGGUGUUGGUGUCAGUCUUGCUCAGACCUGUUAGGUGCUUUCAGGGCAACCAGGAUUCCCCUGUUCUUAAAAGCAGUGCAACACUGGGGCUCUACUCCAGAUCAGUUCAGAAGCAGUCAGGCACAUGAAAGAUGAUAUUCAUGACAAAUACUUCCUCCUUA
Long non-coding RNA from Parus major (Great Tit), 2435 nucleotides. RefSeq lists it as uncharacterized. The transcript has 3 exons. NCBI's taxonomy places the organism in Eukaryota, Metazoa, Chordata, Aves, Passeriformes, Paridae. The record is from RefSeq and is a predicted model, not a curated record.